AUAGGCUCGACAAAGUAACCCCGCGCGGGCGAAAUCAAUGCCUUUGCAAAAGGGGCGCAUGACCUUUCCGUAAGGAUAAAUAAAUACCCCGAUGUAGUCGAUCGGACGCUUCUUGCAUUGCCGCUUAUCGUGGUACAGCGGUUUAAUGGUCGGUACUACGGGCAAUCGGAACUCCACGACGAUAAACAGGUUGUACGGGGUAAUACGUCAAAUGAACAGCAAA
Molecule: non-coding RNA, 223 nt
Submitted as: unclassified sequences
Source: Rfam